RNAcentral lists this ribosomal RNA (448 nucleotides) under uncultured bacterium. RNAcentral describes it as "bacterial SSU rRNA". It matches the Rfam family "Bacterial small subunit ribosomal RNA", at positions 32 to 507 of the family's 1533-position model. The record is from RNAcentral.
AACGCUGGCGGCGUGCUUUAGACAUGCAAGUCGAACGAGAUCUUCGGAUCUAGUGGCGAACGGCGGAGUAAUACAUAAACAACGUGCCCUGAAGACUGGGAUAUACGGUCGAAAGGCCGAGCAAUACCGGAUGUGGCCGAGACUAGGCAUCUAGACUCGAUUAAAUGGUUUUUCGCUUCAGGAGCGGUUUAUGACUCAUCAGCUAGUUGGUAGGGUAAUGGCCUACCAAGGCUACGACGGGUAGGGGGUCUGAGAGGAUGAUCCCCCGAGUGGGACUGAGACACGGCCCACACACCUACGGGUGGCAGCAGUUUGGAAUCUUGCCCAAUGGGGGAAACCCCUGAGGCAGCGACGCCGCGUGGAGGAUGAAGGAUUUAGGUCUGUAAACUCCUUUUGCCAGGAAAGACUUAGGACGGUACCUGGCGAAUAAGCUCCGGCUAACUACGUG